AUAAAUACAGUGAAAAGAAAUAGUAGAUAUCUCAAAGAAGCAUAGAGAAUCCUUGGCUGGUGUAAAAGGAUGUUUGAGGGAUAUUGAAUUCAUCUUGGAGUAGAGCGUUGAAUGAAGUAGGCGUUUCCGGUCACAACCGUUAUAUUGUCAGAGUAUGAUAGUACUCGUUGAGCUAUAUCUAGUGAUAGAUAUAUAAAAUAAGGUGGUAACACGAAGAUACACUCUCGUCCUUAUA
Molecule: non-coding RNA, 235 nt
Filed under: Catenibacterium sp.
Lineage: Bacteria; Bacillati; Bacillota; Erysipelotrichia; Erysipelotrichales; Coprobacillaceae
Description: T-box sequence
Rfam family: T-box leader
About the family: Uncharged tRNA acts as the effector for transcription antitermination of genes in the T-box leader family. T-boxes are found upstream of many aminoacyl-tRNA synthetase genes and some amino acid biosynthetic genes usually in Gram-positive bacteria.
Source: RNAcentral